RNAcentral lists this ribosomal RNA (533 nucleotides) under uncultured bacterium. RNAcentral's name for it is "bacterial SSU rRNA". It matches the Rfam family "Bacterial small subunit ribosomal RNA", at positions 355 to 896 of the family's 1533-position model. The record is from RNAcentral.
UGGGGAAUAUUGCACAAUGGGCGCAAGCCUGAUGCAGCGACGCCGCGUGGGGGAUGACGGCCUUCGGGUUGUAAACUCCCUUCGCUAGGGACGAAGCUUUUUGUGACGGUACCUAGAUAAGAAGCACCGGCUAACUACGUGCCAGCAGCCGCGGUAAUACGUAGGGUGCGAGCGUUGUCCGGAAUUACUGGGCGUAAAGGGCUCGUAGGUGGUUUGUCGCGUCGUCUGUGAAAUUCCGGGGCUUAACUCCGGGCGUGCAGGCGAUACGGGCAUAACUUGAGUACUGUAGGGGUAACUGGAAUUCCUGGUGUAGCGGUGAAAUGCGCAGAUAUCAGGAGGAACACCGAUGGCGAAGGCAGGUUACUGGGCAGUUACUGACGCUGAGGAGCGAAAGCAUGGGUAGCGAACAGGAUUAGAUACCCUGGUAGUCCAUGCCGUAAACGGUGGGCGCUAGGUGUGAGGGUCUUUUCACGACUUUCGUGCCGUAGCUAACGCAUUAAGCGCCCCGCCUGGGGAGUACGGCCGCAAGGCUA